UUUGUCCUCCAGUCAUUCAUCUUGAGAAAAGACGGAGGCAGCAUAGCUAUAUUACGCGUACUUGUGGCUGGGAAGAUACCGAUAACAAGAUGACUAAAAUUGUGAUGCCUUACAUUGGAUUACUUCUCCUUGCCAUGCAUUUUUCAUCACAGGUCCACGCGCAAAAGGCUAGCACACAGUCCCCUGCCAUGAAUGCUACGACCAAAGCUGGCGGCGCGAGUUCUAACAUGACCAAGAUGCCCGAUGUCGCCAAGAACAACACCAUUCCCAAAGGAGCCAGUGCGUCCUUGCAGUCCAGCUCGGUCGCGCUCAUCAUACCCAUCCUGGUGGGGGGCUCUCUACAGGGGCGCUUCUAGAGGGCUGUUGAUCACUGAACAGACACCGGCAAGACUUUAACAUCAGCGACCUAGAUGGGGCGAACUGUUUUACAAAGAGCACAUUUUU
Long non-coding RNA from Salmo salar (Atlantic salmon), 444 nucleotides. RefSeq lists it as uncharacterized. Lineage: Eukaryota; Metazoa; Chordata; Actinopteri; Salmoniformes; Salmonidae. The record is from RefSeq and is a predicted model, not a curated record.